UACGUAGGGGGGCAAGCGUUUGUCCGGAUUUAUUGGGCGUAAAGAGCGUGUAGGCGGCCUGAAAGGUCAGCUGUGAAAACUCGAGGCUUAACCUCGAGACGUCGGUUGAAACCAUCUGGCUAGAGUCCGGAAGAGGAGUGUGGAAUUCCCGGUGUAGCGGUGAAAUGCGCAGAUAUCGGGGAAGAACACCCCGUGGCGAAGGCGGCACUCUGGGACGGUACUGACG
This 226-nucleotide ribosomal RNA is filed under the name uncultured bacterium. RNAcentral describes it as "partial 16S ribosomal RNA". It matches the Rfam family "Bacterial small subunit ribosomal RNA", at positions 524 to 745 of the family's 1533-position model. The record is from RNAcentral.